CUACGUAGGUCCCGAACGUUGCGCGAAAUUACUGGGCGUAAAGGGUCCGUAGGCGGUCUGGUAAGUGGAAGGUGAAAGCCUGGGGCUCAACUCCAGAAUUGCCUUCCAAACUGCCGGACUUGAGGCAGGGAGAGGUCGGCGGAAUUCCCGGUGUAGUGGUGAAAUGCGUAGAGAUCGGGAGGAACACCAGUGGCGAAGGCGGCCGACUGGAACUGUCCUGACGCUGAGGGACGAAAGCCAGGGGAGCGAACCGGAUUAGAAACCCCUGUAGUCC
This 274-nucleotide ribosomal RNA is filed under the name uncultured bacterium. Its description in RNAcentral is "partial 16S ribosomal RNA". It matches the Rfam family "Bacterial small subunit ribosomal RNA", at positions 523 to 796 of the family's 1533-position model. The record is from RNAcentral.